UGGAGCCAGUCAAAGCCAGGCUGAGGAAAGCAAGUCGACAGGGAACGCCAAGAAAACAGGAUCGACACCAUCAUUUCCAGCCCCAGCCCAGCUCCAGGGAAUCAGCCCAGCAAACACAGACAGCCUGCAGCAGCUGGAGGAGACGGUCAGCUCGGACAACAGUGAAGAACCUGCUAAACACUAAAACACACAGAGAUUAACGCCGCCCGCAGUGAUGAAUUCAUCGAUUCGGCUGGAUGUGACUAAUUACGACAGCACCCUCAGCCGCACGGCUACACCCAGACAUGUGAUUUACCUCGUCU
This 302-nucleotide long non-coding RNA is filed under the name Astyanax mexicanus (Mexican tetra). RNAcentral describes it as "lncRNA (ENSAMXG00005015820.1)". Lineage: Eukaryota; Metazoa; Chordata; Actinopteri; Characiformes; Acestrorhamphidae. The record is from RNAcentral.